UUUGGGCAAGAGUUUAUCCCAAAGUCAUUUGAUCAUAGACCAGUUGCCAAAGGAGAUCGAAAGGUGGUAACAGCUUGGGGAUGGUUCUGGAACAGAAGUCCCCCAGUGAGGGCCCUGCCUGAUCCAACACCACGUGACUAUUUCCAUCAGAUGAGAUGACAGAGGGGCUUGCGUCUUCCCUUGCUCCCUCUGCAUCUUGGAGUUGAGGACCAUGAGGUGCCACUGUGGGGAGAUGAAUACCAGCCAUCAGCAGCCUCCGCCUCUGCCAGCAAGUCAAGGGGUGAGCGAGCAGCCACUGAGAAUCACAGGUGCAGAGUCACCAGGCAGUUCCUUGAGAAAGAGGAGUCAAAUCCAAAAAGGACAUUAGUUGAGACUCUGAAGACCAUCCCUAUUUUGGGAAAGCUCAAGAUGGGUGGCAGCAGGACCCUGGUUCCCAUUAAGGAGGCCUGAGUUUCCAGCUGCUCUGCUCCCAUUGCAGCAAGGCAAUGGACAUUUGAAUAAGGGAAUCAAGAACCCUGCACAGCACUCCUGUUCUGGGGCCCAGGACAUUGACUACAAAGAGUGAAGAUUUUAAGUGUUGAGGGACUAGAGACACUGUGAGUGAGAAAACCAGUUUUCUUUUGGAUAUUCAUCUGAAG
This is a long non-coding RNA of Homo sapiens (human), 638 nucleotides long. RefSeq lists it as uncharacterized. The record is from RefSeq and is a predicted model, not a curated record. Lineage: Eukaryota; Metazoa; Chordata; Mammalia; Primates; Hominidae. The transcript has 4 exons.